RNAcentral lists this ribosomal RNA (1470 nucleotides) under Triticum aestivum (bread wheat). RNAcentral's name for it is "partial small subunit ribosomal RNA". Lineage: Eukaryota; Viridiplantae; Streptophyta; Magnoliopsida; Poales; Poaceae. The record is from RNAcentral.
AUGGAUUAUUUGGCCAUAGUCGUGGCACUCGUUGUUGUCACCGCCUCGUCCAUUGCCAUCCACCUCCUCGCCAGAGCCAAGAAAGCACGGCCGGGCAACCUUCCCCCGGGCUCCCUCGGCCUGCCGGUUAUCGGCCAGAGCCUCGGCCUCCUUCGGGCCAUGCGCGGCGACGGCGGCAGCCGCUGGAUCCAGGACCGGAUCGACAGGUACGGGCCCGUGUCCAAGCUGUCACUGUUCGGCAGGCCGACGGUGCUCCUGGCCGGGCCGGCGGCCAACAAGUUCCUGUUCUUCAGCGGCGCUUUCUCCACCCGGCAGCCCCGGUCCGUGCAGCGGAUACUCGGGGAGAAGAGCAUCCUCGACCUCCACGGCGCCGACCACCGGCGCAUCCGCGGCGCCCUGCUCGAGUUCCUCAGGCCGGACAUGCUCAAGGCGUACGUGGGCAGGAUCGACGGCGAGGUGCGGCGCCACCUCCAGGAGAACUGGGCCGGCCGCGCCACCGUCACGGUGCUGCCGCUCAUGAAGCGGCUCACGUUCGACAUCAUCUCAGCGCUGCUCUUCGGUCUCGAGAGGGGCGCCGUGCGGGACGCCCUGGCCGCCGACUUCGUGCGCAUGGUCGAGGGCAUAUGGGCCGUCCCGGUGAACCUGCCGUUCACGGCCUUCAGCCGGAGCCUCAAGGCUAGCGGCAGAGCCCGCCGGGUGCUCCAGGAGAUCACCCGGGAGAAGAAGAAGGCCAGCCAGGUGGAGGUGGAGCACGGCAACGGCAAGGCGUCGCGGAACAGCGACCUCAUCACCUGCCUGCUCAGCCUGAGGGACGGCCAUGGCGAGCGGCUGCUGACCGACGAGGAGAUCGUCGACAACGCCAUGGUCGCCCUCAUCGCCGGCCACGACACGUCGUCCAUCCUUAUGACGUUCAUGGUCCGCCACCUUGCCAGCGACGAUGCCACCCUCGCCGCCAUGGUUCAAGAGCAUGAGGAGAUCGCCAAGAACAAAGGUGACGGCGAGGCUCUCACCUGGGAAGAUCUGGCGAAGAUGAAGCUCACAUGGCGGGUCGCGCAGGAGACGCUCCGCGUCGUCCCUCCGAUCUUCGGCAACUUCAGAAGAGCACUCGAGGACACCGAGUUCGAUGGCUACCUCAUCCCAAAAGGAUGGCAGGUGUUCUGGACGGCAAACGUGACGCACAUGGACGCGAGCAUCUUCCACGAGCCGGCCAAGUUCGACCCGUCCCGGUUUGAGACCGAGAACCAAAGGGCGUCGGCGGCGCCGCCGUUCUCCUUCGUCGCCUUCGGGGGCGGCCCGAGGAUCUGCCCAGGGAUAGAGUUUUCCAGGAUCGAGACGCUGGUGACGAUGCACCACCUUGUGAGGCAGUUCAGAUGGAAGCUCUGCUGCAAGGAGGACACCUUCGUGAGGGACCCCAUGCCGUCGCCGCUGCUCGGCCUGCCCGUCCAAAUCGAGCACAGGGCCUCUCCUUGA